CGCACUGCGGCACUCACUCACGCACUCAGCCUGCUAGGCAAGUCACCUCGGCUCUGCGCUCUUGGCCGCUUCCAAGACCUCCAGUCUUCUUUAACCGGAUAAACCCAGGAGCCGGGAAGCUAGGGUGCAGGCGUGAUCCUCCAACCCUUGAGAGCUAUGGACCUCCUGGAGUACUGGAAAAGAGAUCGUUGGGUUCUCGGACUGUUGACCUGCGUCCUUCCAAGCUGAUAAGCCCAGGACCCUAGGACGGGAUGCUAGGACUCCUGUGUGGCGCCUUGCUUUGAACCCUUUCCCAAGGGCUGUUUCCCAGAUGAGCCUUUGCCGCAAGGCCCUCUUGACACCAAGGAUGACGACGCAAAACCUGCGGCAGCCAACACCCCUCUCCCCACUCUCCGCACUCACUGGUGGGUGCCACCAUCCAGGAAGCAAGUAUCCCGGAGAUGGGAUAAAAAACCUUUUGGAGUCGCUGCCGUUUAUCAGAGCUUGGAGGAACGAUCUGAAAAGUGCUCUCUGACAGAAUUGACAGCUUGGUGCAGAGGGGACAUGAGAGGUGUCUCUGUCCAGCUAGGAAGCAGCUGGACCACAGCGCUCCCAAGGAACGUACUCCCCAACAUCAGUGUGGAGCGACCAGAGAGCAUGACCAUCUCGCAGUGAUCGCCUGCAGGGGCCUUAGCCAGGUGAUGGUGGUGGUACCCAGGAAGAGCAAGGUUGCUGGCACGCAACAUGCCUGCAGCCCUUGAUGCUGUUGGCUCACCAGCACGGAGCACCUUUUUACUUUGGUAGGUAUGCAGAGGGAAGGGCCUUGACUCUGGAGACUUGGGGACCAAAGUUAGAGACUCGCUAGGUCUGUCCCUCCCUUUAGAGCCACAGAAUGCCACGUGGCACUGAGGUUCUUGCUCUCACAAAUAAGCACUCGGGAAACCAGCCGUGUUAAACACGCAGGUUGUCUCUUCAAAGGGAGAGACAUAUAUCCUGUUUUCCUCCCAGAAGGCUGGGAGCGGAGGUGUUUAAUAUCCUGGCGAACUUUGUGCUAUCUGUAUGACCAAGACCAUGUCAGAGCCUCCCCUAGAGCCUUAAGGUAUCAUCUAUAAUGGGUCAGCUAGGUGGGGGGGGGGGGGCGCAUGCCUUUACUUCCGGUAUUCUUCUCCUAAACCCUUAAGAUGUCAUAUGUAAUCAGUCACCUGGGUGGUGGUGGUGCAUGCCUUUAUUUCCAGGACUUGGGUGGCAAAGGUGGGUGGAUCUCUGAGUUCGAGGCCAGCCUGGUCUACAGAGUGAGUCCAGGUCAGCCAGGACUACACAGAGAAAUCUUCUGUCUCAAAUAAACAAAAC
This 1329-nucleotide long non-coding RNA is filed under the name Mus musculus (house mouse). RNAcentral describes it as "small nucleolar RNA host gene 11". The record is from RNAcentral. Lineage: Eukaryota; Metazoa; Chordata; Mammalia; Rodentia; Muridae.